This is a non-coding RNA of Colletotrichum lupini, 104 nucleotides long. The record is from the annotation of a RefSeq genome assembly. NCBI's taxonomy places the organism in Eukaryota, Fungi, Ascomycota, Sordariomycetes, Glomerellales, Glomerellaceae.
GGUCUGGUGGUGUAGUUGGUUAUCACGUCAGUCUAACAGCUCGAGAGCCUCAUCUCUUUCGUCUGCCACACUGAAGGUCUCCGGUUCAAGUCCGGGCUAGAUCA